RNAcentral lists this ribosomal RNA (498 nucleotides) under uncultured bacterium. Its description in RNAcentral is "partial 16S ribosomal RNA". It matches the Rfam family "Bacterial small subunit ribosomal RNA", at positions 28 to 507 of the family's 1533-position model. The record is from RNAcentral.
GACGAACGCUGGCGGCGUGCCUAAUACAUGCAAGUCGAACGAGAGCGACCGGUGCUUGCACUGGUCAAUCUAGUGGCGAACGGGUGAGUAACACGUGGGUAACCUGCCCAUCAGAGGGGGAUAACAUCCGGAAACGGAUGCUAAAACCGCAUAGGUCUUCGAACCGCAUGGUUUGAGGAGGAAAAGAGGCGCACGCUUCUGCUGAUGGAUGGACCCGCGGUGCAUUAGCUAGUUGGUGAGGUAACGGCUCACCAAGGCCGUGAUGCAUAGCCGACCUGAGAGGGUGAUCGGCCACAUUGGGACUGAGACACGGCCCAAACUCCUACGGGAGGCAGCAGUAGGGAAUCUUCCGCAAUGGACGCAAGUCUGACGGAGCAACGCCGCGUGAGUGAAGAAGGUUUUCGGAUCGUAAAACUCUGUUGUUAGAGAAGAACAAGUGCUAGAGUAACUGUUAGCGCCUUGACGGUAUCUAACCAGAAAGCCACGGCUAACUACGUG